Long non-coding RNA from Homo sapiens (human), 1774 nucleotides. Ensembl annotates it as TAGAP antisense RNA 1. Its record names the gene TAGAP-AS1. The record is from Ensembl. Lineage: Eukaryota; Metazoa; Chordata; Mammalia; Primates; Hominidae.
GCGCUUUGCGAGGUUCCUGGCUAGGGAGGCGGCCUUGGCUGGCUUGACCGUCAUCCUUGAGGCCUGCGGGGCAACGGUGGCUGUCCUUGGCCCGGCUUUGGAAUGUGGCUUUGCAGGGCUGGUGUUGGCGCCAUUCUCGCAGGCCCACGUGCUCCUGCUCUUCCAGGGUGUCCUCGGCUGUUUCUCCUGCCGCGGCGCAGCAGCGCUCCCAGGCUGCCCCCGCGAUAACACGCCCCUGGCAGCCAGGCUCCCAGCUCUGUUACGUGCCCGGGCGGGGAAGAGCUUCCUGGUGUCUCCCGGCUCCUGCCCUUCUCCCGCCCCAGGGGCGGGCUGCCGCCGCCCUCUGCAGCUGAGUCAGUGCAGUUCCUCACCUACCUUCUCUGCUCACCGCUGUGUGCUAGCAAUCGGAGGACCCUUGGCACACGGAGCGACAGGGGCCUCCCCCACAGACACCUCAUUUUGGGAAAGAAGCUGUACAGGAGGCAUGGCUGGGGAGGCCUCAGAAAACUUACAAUCAUGGCAGAAGGUGAAGGGGAAGCCAGCACAUCUUCAUAUGAUGGCAGGAACUUUAUAUGUUAUAGAAGUUAGCCCCAAGAAUGAAAUCGUGUCCUUUGCCAAAACAUGGAUGGAGCUAGAGGCCUUUAUCCUAAGUGAGUUAACGCAGGAACAGAAAGCCAAAUAGUGCAUGUUCUCACUGAUAAGUGGGAGCUAAACUAUGGGUUCACAAAGGCAUGCAGAGUGGUACUGUGGACAUUGGAGACUCAGAAUGGGGGAGGCUAGGAGGGAGGUAAGGGAUGAAAAAGUACCUGUUGGGUACAAUGUACACUACUUGGGUGACGAUGGGUCCACUAAAAUCCCAGAUUUAACCACUGUACAAUUCAUCCAUGUAACCAAAACCCACCUGUACCCCAAUGCUAUGAAAAUAAAUAAAACCAAAUUAGCUCUGUUUCUGUUAGAUGAGAUGCAAAUAUUUUCCCAAGUUUGUCCUUUGUCUUUUGACUUUGUUUAUGGUGUUUCACUCAUGCAGAUGUUUUUUAUUUUCAUGUUUUUAACUUGUCAUUAUUUUCUUUCAUGUCUUCUGGAUUUUAAGUCAUGUUAUCAAGGCUUUCCCACUCUGAUAUUAUAAAUGAAUUUUUCCUCAUUUCUCUUAGAACUUUGAUUCUUUCACUUCCCACAUUUAACCUUCCACGUAUCCAGAAUUUCCCCUAGCAUAAGUUGAUACGGUCCCAAUGUUUCUUUUUUUUUUUUCCCAAAUGGCCACUCAUUUAUACCAACACCAUUUAUUGAAUCGUCUAUAGUCCCCACUGAUUUGAAAUGCCAGCUUUACAUACCAAAGUCCUGUAUGCAUUUGCCUCUGUUCUGUUUGGUAGGUCUAUUCAAGCUCCAGUUCCCAAAAGUGUUGAGUGUCGCUUAAAAUCUAGAAGGGCUGGUUUCUAGUUUUCCAUAAUUGCUCCUCUUUUCUAGUGUCCUCUGUCCUAUUAGGGCUUAUUGAUUUUUAAAUAUGAUUUGUGGAUUCAGUUUUCUUUAGUUCUAGUGAGCAACAAAAACAACCAAGAAAAAAAUAAAAAAAACCCUCCCUGUUUUCCUUUCUUUCUUUCUUUUUUUAAUCAAGAUCACCUUAAGUUUAAAAAUUAACGUAGGAUAACUUGACAUAUUUUAUGAUUUUUAUGUUACUCUCCAAAAAUAUAAUAAGUGGUUCUAUUUAUUCAACUCUACUCCUUUGUCCUGCAGGAACAUUUUGUUUCCUUAUCAAGUCUGAUAUUGUCUUUUGGUC